RNAcentral lists this ribosomal RNA (433 nucleotides) under uncultured bacterium. Its description in RNAcentral is "partial 16S ribosomal RNA". It matches the Rfam family "Bacterial small subunit ribosomal RNA", at positions 29 to 507 of the family's 1533-position model. The record is from RNAcentral.
AACGAACGCUGGCGGCAGGCCUAACACAUGCCAGUCGAGCGAGGACUUCGGUUCUAGCGGCGGACGGGUGAGUAACGCGUGGGAAUGUGCCCUUCUCUACGGAAUAGCCCUGGGAAACUGGGAGUAAUACCGUAUACGCCCUAUUGGGGAAAGAUUUAUCGGAGAAGGAUCAGCCCGCGUUGGAUUAGGUAGUUGGUGGGGUAAUGGCCUACCAAGCCGACGAUCCAUAGCUGGUUUGAGAGGAUGAUCAGCCACACUGGGACUGAGACACGGCCCAGAAUCCUACGGGAGGCAGCAGUGGGGAAUCUUAGACAAUGGGGGCAACCCUGAUCGAGCCAUGCCGCGUGAGUGAUGAAGGCCUUAGGGUUGUAAAGCUCUUUCAGCUGGGAAGAUAAUGACGGUACCAGCAGAAGAAGCCCCGGCUAACUCCGUG